RNAcentral lists this ribosomal RNA (114 nucleotides) under uncultured bacterium. RNAcentral describes it as "partial 16S ribosomal RNA". It matches the Rfam family "Bacterial small subunit ribosomal RNA", at positions 1358 to 1482 of the family's 1533-position model. The record is from RNAcentral.
UACGGUGAAUACGUUCCCGGACCUUGCACACACCGCCCGUCAAGCCAUGGAAGCUGGGUGUACCUAAAGUCGGUAACCGCAAGGGCCGCCUAGGUAAAACUAGUAACUGGGGCU